Molecule: ribosomal RNA, 404 nt
Filed under: uncultured bacterium
Lineage: Bacteria
Description: bacterial SSU rRNA
Rfam family: Bacterial small subunit ribosomal RNA
Source: RNAcentral
UGGGGAAUAUUGGACAAUGGGCGAAAGCCUGAUCCAGCAAUGCCGCGUGAGUGAUGAAGGCCCUAGGGUUGUAAAGCUCUUUUACCAGGGAUGAUAAUGACAGUACCUGGAGAAUAAGCUCCGGCUAACUCCGUGCCAGCAGCCGCGGUAAUACGGAGGGAGCUAGCGUUGUUCGGAAUCACUGGGCGUAAAGCGCACGUAGGCGGCUACUCAAGUCGGGGGUGAAAGCCCGGGGCUCAACCCCGGAACUGCCCUCGAAACUAGGUAGCUAGAAUCUUGGAGAGGCGAGUGGAAUUCCGAGUGUAGAGGUGAAAUUCGUAGAUAUUCGGAAGAACACCAGUGGCGAAGGCGACUCGCUGGACAAGUAUUGACGCUGAGGUGCGAAAGCGUGGGGAGCAAACAGG